Molecule: ribosomal RNA, 491 nt
Filed under: uncultured bacterium
Lineage: Bacteria
Description: bacterial SSU rRNA
Rfam family: Bacterial small subunit ribosomal RNA
Source: RNAcentral
AGGAUGAACGCUAGCGAUAGGCCUAACACAUGCAAGUCGAGGGGCAGCACAUGAGUAGCAAUACGAUGGUGGCGACCGGCGCACGGGUGAGUAACACGUAUGCAACCUACCUCUAACAGGGGGAUAACCCGUUGAAAGACGGACUAAUACCCCAUAAUACAGGGGCUCCGCAUGGAGAUAUUUGUUAAAGAUUUUAUCGGUUAGAGAUGGGCAUGCGUUCCAUUAGCUAGUUGGUGAGGUAACGGCUCACCAAGGCGACGAUGGAUAGGGGAACUGAGAGGUUUAUCCCCCACACUGGAACUGAGACACGGUCCAGACUCCUACGGGAGGCAGCAGUGAGGAAUAUUGGUCAAUGGAGGCAACUCUGAACCAGCCAAGUCGCGUGAAGGAUGAAGGUCUUAUGGAUUGUAAACUUCUUUUGCAGGGGAAUAAAUAGUGGUACGUGUACCGUUUUGCAUGUACCCUGCGAAUAAGGAUCGGCUAACUCCGUG